This 253-nucleotide ribosomal RNA is filed under the name uncultured bacterium. Its description in RNAcentral is "partial 16S ribosomal RNA". It matches the Rfam family "Bacterial small subunit ribosomal RNA", at positions 524 to 776 of the family's 1533-position model. The record is from RNAcentral.
GACGUAGGGUGCGAGCGUUGUCCGGAUUUAUUGGGCGUAAAGAGCUCGUAGGCGGCUUGUUGCGUCAGCUGUGAAAACCCGCGGCUUAACCGUGGGCCUGCAGCUGAUACGGGCAAGCUAGAGUUCGGUAGGGGAGACUGGAAUUCCUGGUGUAGCGGUGAAAUGCGCAGAUAUCAGGAGGAACACCGGUGGCGAAGGCGGGUCGCUGGUCCGAUACUGACGCUGAGGAGCGAAAGCGUGGGGAGCGAACAGG